Non-coding RNA from Dipodomys ordii (Ord's kangaroo rat), 65 nucleotides. NCBI's taxonomy places the organism in Eukaryota, Metazoa, Chordata, Mammalia, Rodentia, Heteromyidae. The record is from Rfam.
GGUGGCUCAAUGGUAGAGCACUUGCCUUGCAUGCAUGAGGCCCUGGGUUCGAUUCCUUAGCACCA